RNAcentral lists this ribosomal RNA (155 nucleotides) under Tulasnella sp. M-8. RNAcentral describes it as "5.8S ribosomal RNA". The stretch from base 37 to 155 matches the Rfam family "5.8S ribosomal RNA", at positions 1 to 109 of the family's 154-position model. From Rfam's summary of the family: 5.8S ribosomal RNA (5.8S rRNA) is a component of the large subunit of the eukaryotic ribosome. It is transcribed by RNA polymerase I as part of the 45S precursor that also contains 18S and 28S rRNA. The record is from RNAcentral. Lineage: Eukaryota; Fungi; Basidiomycota; Agaricomycetes; Cantharellales; Tulasnellaceae.
UCUGCGUUGUGAGUCUGAACCGUUGUAAUAAACUACAACCGGUAGCAUUGGAUCCCUUGGCACGUCAUUCGAUGAAGACCGUUGCAAAUUGCGAUAAAGUGAUGUGAUGCGCAAGUCCACCACUUAUACGUGAAUCAUCGAGUUGUUGAACGCAU